UACGGGAGGCAGCAGUGGGGAAUAUUGCACAAUGGGCGCAAGCCUGAUGCAGCCAUGCCGCGUGUAUGAAGAAGGCCCUUCGGGUUGUAAAGUACUUUCAGUCGUGAGGAAGGUGUUAAGGUUAAUAACCUUAGCAAUUGACGUUAGCGACAGAAGAAGCACCGGCUAACUCCGUGCCAGCAGCCGCGGUAAUACGGAGGGUGCGAGCGUUAAUCGGAAUUACUGGGCGUAAAGGGCACGCAGGCGGUUAAUUAAGUUGGAUGUGAAAUCCCCGGGCUUAACCUGGGAAUGGCAUUCAAGACUGGUUAGCUAGAGUCUUGUAGAGGGGGUAGAAUUCCAUGUGUAGCGGUGAAAUGCGUAGAGAUGUGGAGGAAUACCGGUGGCGAAGGCGGCCCCUGGACAAAGACUGACGCUCAUGUGCGAAAGCGUGGGGAGCAAAC
Molecule: ribosomal RNA, 440 nt
Filed under: uncultured bacterium
Lineage: Bacteria
Description: bacterial SSU rRNA
Rfam family: Bacterial small subunit ribosomal RNA
Source: RNAcentral